This 416-nucleotide ribosomal RNA is filed under the name uncultured bacterium. RNAcentral's name for it is "bacterial SSU rRNA". It matches the Rfam family "Bacterial small subunit ribosomal RNA", at positions 195 to 606 of the family's 1533-position model. The record is from RNAcentral.
GGGGAUCGAAAGACCUUACGCUUUUGGAGCGGCCGAUGUCGGAUUAGCUAGUUGGUAGGGUAAUGGCUUACCAAGGCGACGAUCAGUAGUUGGUCUGAGAGGACGGCCAGCCACACUGGGACUGAGACACGGCCCAGACUCCUACGGGAGGCAGCAGUGGGGAAUUUUGGACAAUGGGCGCAAGCCUGAUCCAGCAAUGCCGCGUGAGUGAAGAAGGCCUUCGGGUUGUAAAGCUCUUUCAGUUGAGAAGAAAAGGUUGUGACUAAUAAUCACAACUCAUGACGGUAUCGACAGAAGAAGCACCGGCUAACUACGUGCCAGCAGCCGCGGUAAUACGUAGGGUGCGAGCGUUAAUCGGAAUUACUGGGCGUAAAGGGUGCGCAGGCGGUUUUGUAAGUCAGAUGUGAAAUCCCCGG